This 497-nucleotide ribosomal RNA is filed under the name uncultured bacterium. Its description in RNAcentral is "partial 16S ribosomal RNA". It matches the Rfam family "Bacterial small subunit ribosomal RNA", at positions 28 to 507 of the family's 1533-position model. The record is from RNAcentral.
GAUGAGCGCUGGCGGCGUGCCUAAUACAUGCAAGUCGAGCGAACGGACGAGAAGCUUGCUUCUCUGAUGUUAGCGGCGGACGGGUGAGUAACACGUGGAUAACCUACCUAUAAGACUGGGAUAACUUCGGGAAGCCGGAGCUAAUACCGGAUAAUAUUUUGAACCGCAUGGUUCAAAAGUGAAAGACGGUCUUGCUGUCACUUAUAGAUGGAUCCGCGCUGCAUUAGCUAGUUGGUAAGGUAACGGCUUACCAAGGCAACGAUGCAUAGCCGACCUGAGAGGGUGAUCGGCCACACUGGAACUGAGACACGGUCCAGACUCCUACGGGAGGCAGCAGUAGGGAAUCUUCCGCAAUGGGCGAAAGCCUGACGGAGCAACGCCGCGUGAGUGAUGAAGGUCUUCGGAUCGUAAAACUCUGUUAUUAGGGAAGAACAUAUGUGUAAGUAACUGUGCACAUCUUGACGGUACCUAAUCAGAAAGCCACGGCUAACUACGUG